Small nucleolar RNA from Amphilophus citrinellus (Midas cichlid), 136 nucleotides. NCBI's taxonomy places the organism in Eukaryota, Metazoa, Chordata, Actinopteri, Cichliformes, Cichlidae. The record is from Ensembl.
ACAGCAUCUUAAGCAGGUCGUGGUCUCUGAGCAGUAGGCCAGGAUUUGGUAGCUGGUGCUGAAAUCAGUUCUCUCUUGCAACACUCCCACUAGCAACUUCUGUGCUUUCUGGGAGUACUAUGGGAGAGAUAUAAAU